GACGAACGCUGGCGGCGUGCUUAACACAUGCAAGUCGAACGGAAAGGCCCUGCUUGCAGGGUACUCGAGUGGCGAACGGGUGAGUAACACGUGGGUGAUCUGCCCUGCACUUCGGGAUAAGCUUGGGAAACUGGGUCUAAUACCGGAUAGGAACCAUCUUUAGUGUGGUGGUUGGAAAGUUUUUUCGGUGUAGGAUGAGCUCGCGGCCUAUCAGCUUGUUGGUGGGGUAAUGGCCUACCAAGGCGGCGACGGGUAGCCGGCCUGAGAGGGUGUACGGCCACAUUGGGACUGAGAGACGGCCCAGACUCCUACGGGAGGCAGCAGUGGGGAAUAUUGCACAAGGGGCGCAAGCCUGAUGCAGCGACGCCGCGGGGGGGAUGAAGGCCUUCGGGUUGUAAACUCCUUUCGCUAGGGACGAAGCUUUUUGUGACGGUACCUAGAUAAGAAGCACCGGCUAACUACGUG
This 465-nucleotide ribosomal RNA is filed under the name uncultured bacterium. Its description in RNAcentral is "partial 16S ribosomal RNA". It matches the Rfam family "Bacterial small subunit ribosomal RNA", at positions 28 to 507 of the family's 1533-position model. The record is from RNAcentral.